UACGAAGGGGGCUAGCGUUGCUCGGAAUCACUGGGCGUAAAGGGUGCGUAGGCGGAUCGAUCAGUCAGGGGUGAAAUCCCAGAGCUCAACUCUGGAACUGCCUUUGAUACUGUCGAUCUGGAGUAUGGAAGAGGUGAGUGGAAUUCCGAGUGUAGAGGUGAAAUUCGUAGAUAUUCGGAGGAACACCAGUGGCGAAGGCGGCUCACUGGUCCAUUACUGACGCUGAGGUGCGAAAGCGUGGGGAGCAAACAGG
This 253-nucleotide ribosomal RNA is filed under the name uncultured bacterium. Its description in RNAcentral is "partial 16S ribosomal RNA". It matches the Rfam family "Bacterial small subunit ribosomal RNA", at positions 524 to 776 of the family's 1533-position model. The record is from RNAcentral.